CUACGGGAGGCAGCAGUGGGGAAUCUUGGACAAUGGGCGCAAGCCUGAUCCAGCCAUGCCGCGUGAGUGAAGAAGGCCUUAGGGUUGUAAAACUCUUUCGCCGGAGAAGAUAAUGACGGUAUCCGGAGAAGAAGCCCCGGCUAACUUCGUGCCAGCAGCCGCGGUAAUACGAAGGGGGCUAGCGUUGUUCGGAAUUACUGGGCGUAAAGCGCACGUAGGCGGAUUUGUAAGUAGGGGGUGAAAUCCCAGGGCUCAACCCUGGAACUGCCUUCUAGACUGCAAGUCUGGAGAUCAGGAGAGGCGAGUGGAAUACCGAGUGUAGAGGUGAAAUUCGUAGAUAUUCGGUGGAACACCAGUGGCGAAGGCGACUCGCUGGACUGAUACUGACGCUGAGGUGCGAAAGCGUGGGGAGCAAACAGGAUUAGAAACCCGAGUAGUCC
This 440-nucleotide ribosomal RNA is filed under the name uncultured bacterium. RNAcentral's name for it is "bacterial SSU rRNA". It matches the Rfam family "Bacterial small subunit ribosomal RNA", at positions 339 to 796 of the family's 1533-position model. The record is from RNAcentral.